UUAAUUAAUUAUUAUCAGCGCGGCCUAUCAGCUUGUUGGCGGGGUAACGGCCCACCAAGGCAACGACGGGUAGCUGGUUUGAGAGAACGAUCAGCCACACUGGAACUGAGACACGGUCCAGACUCCUACGGGAGGCAGCAGUGGGGAAUCUUGCGCAAUGGGCGAAAGCCUGACGCAGCAACGCCGCGUGCGGGAUGACGGCCUUCGUGGUUGUAAACCGCUUUCAGCAGGGACGAAAAUGACGGUACCUGCAGAAGGAGCCCCGGCUAACUACGUGCCAGCAGCCGCGGUAAUACGUAGGGGGCAAGCGUUGUCCGGAUUCAUUGGGCGUAAAGAGCUCGUAGGCGGUUCAGUAAGUUGGGUGUUAAAGCUCCGGGCUCAACCCGGAGAGGCCACCCAAUACUGCUGUGACUAGAGUCCAGUAGAGGAGCGUGGAAUUCCUGGUGUAGCGGUGAAAUGCGCAGAUAUCAGGAGGAACACCGGUAGCGAAGGCGGCGCUCUGGGCUGGAACUGACGCUGAGGAGCGAAAGCGUGGGUAGCAAACAGGAUUAGAUACCCUGGUAGUCCACGCCGUAAACGUUGGGCACUAGGUGUGGGGAGGAGUCAACCCUCUCUGUGCCGUAGCUAACGCAUUAAGUGCCCCGCCUGGGGAGUACG
This 657-nucleotide ribosomal RNA is filed under the name uncultured actinomycete. RNAcentral's name for it is "bacterial SSU rRNA". It matches the Rfam family "Bacterial small subunit ribosomal RNA", at positions 214 to 884 of the family's 1533-position model. The record is from RNAcentral. Lineage: Bacteria; Bacillati; Actinomycetota; Actinomycetes; Actinomycetales.